Molecule: long non-coding RNA, 1406 nt
Filed under: Cinara cedri
Lineage: Eukaryota; Metazoa; Arthropoda; Insecta; Hemiptera; Aphididae
Source: RNAcentral
UUCCAUUUACAAUUUUUUGCUAAACAUCGAGACCCGAGCGGCUAUCUUAAUUUGUGCUUCGAUCAAAUUUUAGUUACCUUUUGUAAGUUAUUUUCGUUUCGGAAAGUAUACAUUUGUUUUGGAUUACCGUUCACCAAACAGUCAGUCACAAACUGGUAAAUAUUAUUGAAGUUCUAUUUCAUAGCUUAUGUUGUAUUGAACAUUAUUAGCAGUUUUCAGUUAUAAGUAUGAAGGUCAUAUUAUUAUGGUUAGACUUAAAAAUUUGAAAAUAUUCAAUGACAUUAUCCCGAUUGUUGCCAUUAUAAAACAAUUAUUUGUUUUUAAUCAUUAUUUAAACAUAUUUGAAUCAUAUAAAUAAUUAAAAAAUAAUUUAUUUUUGUGUUUAAUGUGAAAUCAAUAAAUUUCAUUUAAAAAAAAACUAAACUUGUAUAAUUGUAUAUUAUACUACCUAUAGAAGUACUAAAAAUCACCGGGACUAGGAUUCAAACCCAAGUUUUGCUUGCUGUAAGACUGUUCUACCAAAUGAGCUACUGGGGGCCUGAUUCCUAACACUCCACUGUACUUAAACAGUCUAAUGUCAAAUCAGAGGUUAGUGGAGUGACAUGGUAUAUGGUUAAGGGGACAUUACAGUUGUUAAGGUGAUGUGUUAAGUACUUAUUGAAAACUGAAAACCCUAAAUUUGAUUCAUGAAUAUUUCUGAUUAGUUUUAACAUUAAAUAUUUGUGUAAUACAUUGAAUACCUAUAUUAUUUUUAAGUUUACAUGAAAUUGUGUUUUAGAAUCAUGUCGUCUACUGCUGUUGUUAAAAAAUUAGUAAGACCACAAUUUCGUGGAAACUUUGAACAAAAAACAAAGUUUCAUCUUGGGUUAAGUAUUGGAUUAUCUAUCAUAGUUGGCUUAGGUUACAAAUAUGGCAUUGGUGAACCCCGUAAAAAGGCGUACGCAGAGUUCUACAAGUGAGUCAAAUUGUUUUGCUAUCUUAAUAAGUGUAAAUGGUAUUAUUAAUUGACUUCAUAUUUUAUUUUAUAGAAAUUAUGAUGCCGAUAAAGACUUUGAAAGGAUGAGAAAACUAGGACUUUUUUCUUCUUGUCCUGCUGAUGAUUAAAAAUCCUGUCAUGUUACUAAUUAGUUGUUCUAUGUAAAUUUAUUUGAUCAGAAACAUAAAUGCACUUUUGAAUACACCUUUGUAUUAAUAAAAUAUAAUUAAUUAUUAUGUAUUACUGAUUGUAUUAAACAAUUUACAUGUGUUUGAGUAAAAACCAUGAGUUUAGUUCAAUUUUAACAGUAAAUUACCUAUGAAAACUUUAUUCUUCAUUUAUUCUAGUAGUAUAAAAACCUAUUAAUUUAUUAGCAGUUUGGUUGGAAAAAAAAUUGUUCAAUUUUCUUGGUAUAUCCAUAUGCCUAUUA